UACAUAUGUUGGAGUUAGGGGAAACAUCCUCAUGCUGCAGCCUCCCCCAUCUCUAGACAGUGCGUACAACAUUCUGCUUUAGGAUGAGAGACAAAGACAAUUUACAUCAUCACCCUCUCAAUUCCGUAGUGACUCCAAUGCUUUCAACACUUAUUUCACCAACAAAUUCCCUGGCACACCUGCCCAUUCUAAACAAUUCAAUCAAGGAGUCAGCUUUGAUCUCAACAAGACAAACUUAGUGCGUAGAUAUUGCAAGAAACCUGGUCAUAUGAUUGACAAGUGCUACAAACUCCAUGGAUUCCCACCAGACUUCAAAUUUACAAGAAGCAAGAGGACUGCAUCAAAUGUUGAGGUGCAGGGAUGUCUGAACUCUGUUGGGUCUUCAAACAAUGCCUCCAUGGAUUCCCGCCAGACUUCAAAUUUACAAGAGGCAAGAGGACUGCAGCAAAUGUUGAGGUGCCGGGAUGUCUGAAUUCUGUUGGGUCUACAAACAAUGCUGAUAGUACUCAGGGGUCCUCUGAAUCAGAAUCUUUGAUUCCUGGUUUAACCAAGGAUCAAUAUUCACAACUUAUGUU
RNAcentral lists this long non-coding RNA (575 nucleotides) under Nicotiana benthamiana. Its description in RNAcentral is "long non-coding RNA (NBEN_LNC030683)". Lineage: Eukaryota; Viridiplantae; Streptophyta; Magnoliopsida; Solanales; Solanaceae. The record is from RNAcentral.